ACUCAAAUGAAUUGACGGGGACCCACACAAGCGGUGGAGCAUGGGGUUUAAUUCGAUGAUAACCGAAGCACCUCACCCAGACUUGACAUCCUUGGAAUCUUCCAGAAAUGGAGGAGUGCCGUAAGGAACCAAGAGACAGGCGAUGCACGGUCGUCGUCAGCUCGUGCCUUGAGGUGUACUGUUAAGUCAGCCAACGAGCGCAACCCUCAUCCUAUGUUGUUUUUUCAUAGGAGACUGCCGCCUCCAAGGCGGAGGAAGGUGAGGAUGACGUCAGAUCAGCGUGUCCUUUAUGUCUGGGGCAACACCCGUGCUACAAUGGUCGGUACAGAGGGCAGCGAAGCCGUAAGGUGAAGCUAAUCCCACAAACCCGAUCUCAGUCCGGAUUGAAGUCUGCAACUCGACUUCAUGAAGUUGGAAUCGCUAGUAACCGUGAAUCAGCUAUGUCACGGUGAAUAUGUUCCUGGGUCUUGUACACACCGCCCGU
Molecule: ribosomal RNA, 484 nt
Filed under: uncultured bacterium
Lineage: Bacteria
Description: partial 16S ribosomal RNA
Rfam family: Bacterial small subunit ribosomal RNA
Source: RNAcentral